Molecule: long non-coding RNA, 199 nt
Filed under: Sorghum bicolor (sorghum)
Lineage: Eukaryota; Viridiplantae; Streptophyta; Magnoliopsida; Poales; Poaceae
Description: long non-coding RNA (SBIC_LNC004411)
Source: RNAcentral
CCCACCAAAUCUUGAAUCACACACAAACUAUAUGAAACUAUAUGUGUCAAUUGUGGAUUUUCAACUACAUCUUCCCAACACUUUGUCAAAUGCAAAAAUGGUCUAUAUAUUAAAUGUACAUUUUGAUGAGUGGAACAAUAUUAGUAUUCAUGACGUUUCCAUUCGAGACCAUCUAGGGUUCCGAAAACCGAUGCGUGGC